GACGAACGCUGGCGGCGUGCUUAACACAUGCAAGUCGAACGGAGCUAUUUAUUUCGGUAAAUCGCUUAGUGGCAAACGGGUGAGUAACGCGUAGGCAACCUGCCCUCAGGAUGGGGACAACGGCUCGAAAGAGCCGCUAAUACCGAAUGACGUAACUCUUCCACAUGGAAGAGAUACUAAAGAUGGGUCAAACCAUCGCCUAAGGAUGGGCCUGCGUCUGAUUAGCCAGUUGGUGAGGUAACGGCUCACCAAAGCGACGAUCAGUAGCCGGUCUGAGAGGAUGAACGGCCACAAUGGGACUGAGACACGGCCCAUACUCCUACGGGAGGCAGCAGUGGGGAAUCUUCCGCAAUGGGCGAAAGCCUGACGGAGCAACGCCGCGUGAGUGAAGAAGGUCUUCGGAUCGUAAAGCUCUGUUGUCGGGGACGAAAGGAAAGGGGAGGCAAUGCCCUUUUCAAGAC
RNAcentral lists this ribosomal RNA (461 nucleotides) under Veillonellaceae bacterium oral taxon 155. RNAcentral's name for it is "bacterial SSU rRNA". It matches the Rfam family "Bacterial small subunit ribosomal RNA", at positions 28 to 473 of the family's 1533-position model. The record is from RNAcentral. Lineage: Bacteria; Bacillati; Bacillota; Negativicutes; Veillonellales; Veillonellaceae.